GACGAACGCUGGCGGCGUGCUUAACACAUGCAAGUCGAACGGAAAGGCCCUGCUUUUGUGGGGUGCUCGAGUGGCGAACGGGUGAGUAACACGUGAGUAACCUGCCCUUGACUUUGGGAUAACUUCAGGAAACUGGGGCUAAUACCGGAUAGGAGCUCCUGCUGCAUGGUGGGGGUUGGAAAGUUUCGGCGGUUGGGGAUGGACUCGCGGCUUAUCAGCUUGUUGGUGGGGUAGUGGCUUACCAAGGCUUUGACGGGUAGCCGGCCUGAGAGGGUGACCGGCGACAUUGGGACUGAGGUACGGCCCAGACUGCUACGUGAGGCAGCAGUGGGGAAUAUUGCACAAUGGGCGGAAGCCUGAGGCAGCAACGCCGCGUGCGGGAUGACGGCCUUCGGGUUGUAAACCGCUUUCGCCUGUGACGAAGCGUGAGUGACGGUAAUGGGUAAAGAAGCACCGGCUAACUACGUG
RNAcentral lists this ribosomal RNA (468 nucleotides) under uncultured bacterium. RNAcentral describes it as "partial 16S ribosomal RNA". It matches the Rfam family "Bacterial small subunit ribosomal RNA", at positions 28 to 507 of the family's 1533-position model. The record is from RNAcentral.